Triticum aestivum (bread wheat) is the source of this 126-nucleotide non-coding RNA. The record is from Rfam. NCBI's taxonomy places the organism in Eukaryota, Viridiplantae, Streptophyta, Magnoliopsida, Poales, Poaceae.
CUUGUACUCCCUCCGUCCCGAAAUACUCGUCGGAGGAAUGGAUGUAUCUAGAUGUAUAUUAGUUCUAGAUACAUUCAUUUUUAUGCAUUUCUUCGACAAGUAUUUCCAGACGGAGGGNAGAAAAGA